This 465-nucleotide ribosomal RNA is filed under the name uncultured bacterium. Its description in RNAcentral is "bacterial SSU rRNA". It matches the Rfam family "Bacterial small subunit ribosomal RNA", at positions 338 to 795 of the family's 1533-position model. The record is from RNAcentral.
CCUACGGGCCGCAGCAGUAGGGAAUCUUCGGCAAUGGACGAAAGUCUGACCGAGCAACGCCGCGUGAGUGAAGAAAGUUUUCGGAUCGUAAAACUCUGUUGGUAGAGAAGAACGUUGGUGAGAGUGGAAAGCUCAUCAAGUGACGGUAACUACCCAGAAAGGGACGGCUAACUACGCGCCAGCAGCCGCGGUAAUACGUAGGUCCCGAGCGUUGUCCGGAUUUAUUGGGCGUAAAGCGAGCGCAGGUGGUUUAUUAAGUUUGGUGUAAAAGGCAGUGGCUCAACCAUUGUAUGCAUUGGAAACUGGUAGACUUGAGUGCAGGAGAGGAGAGUGGAAUUCCAUGUGUAGCGGUGAAAUGCGUAGAUAUAUGGAGGAACACCGGUGGCGAAAGCGGCUCUCUGGCCUGCAACUGACACUGAGGCUCGAAAGCGUGGGGAGCAAACAGGAUUAGAUACCCGGGUAGUC